AGAGUUUGAUCCUGGCUCAGAUUGAACUCUGGCGGCAGGCCUAACACAUGCAAGUCGAACGGUAACAGGAAGAAGCUUGCUUCUUUGCUGACGAGUGGCGGACGGGUGAGUAAUGUCUGGGAAACUGCCUGAUGGAGGGGGAUAACUACUGGAAACGGUAGCUAAUACCGCAUAACGUCGCAAGACCAAAGAGGGGGACCUUCGGGCCUCUUGCCAUCGGAUGUGCCCAGAUGGGAUUAGCUUGUUGGUGGGGUAACGGCUCACCAAGGCGACGAUCCCUAGCUGGUCUGAGAGGAUGACCAGCCACACUGGAACUGAGACACGGUCCAGACUCCUACGGGAGGCAGCAGUGGGGAAUAUUGCACAAUGGGCGCAAGCCUGAUGCAGCCAUGCCGCGUGUAUGAAGAAGGCCUUCGGGUUGUAAAGUACUUUCAGCGGGGAGGAAGGGAGUAAAGUUAAUACCUUUGCUCAUUGACGUUACCCGCAGAAGAAGCACCGGCUAACUCCGUGCCAGCAGCCGCGGUGAUACGGAGGGUGCAAGCGCUAAUCGGAAUUACUGGGCGUAAAGCGCACGCAGGCGGUUUGUUAAGUCAGAUGUGAAAUCCCCGGGCUCAACCUGGGAACUGCAUCUGAUACUGGCAAGCUUGAGUCUCGUAGAGGGGGGUAGAAUUCCAGGUGUAGCGGUGAAAUGCGUAGAGAUCUGGAGGAAUACCGGUGGCGAAGGCGGCCCCCUGGACGAAGACUGACGCUCAGGUGCGAAAGCGUGGGGAGCAAACAGGAUUAGAUACCCUGGUAGUCCACGCCGUAAACGAUGUCGACUUGGAGGUUGUGCCCUUGAGGCGUGGCUUCCGGAGCUAACGCGUUAAGUCGACCGCCUGGGGAGUACGGCCGCAAGGUUAAAACUCAAAUGAAUUGACGGGGGCCCGCACAAGCGGUGGAGCAUGUGGUUUAAUUCGAUGCAACGCGAAGAACCUUACCUGGUCUUGACAUCCACAGAACUUUCCAGAGAUGGAUUGGUGCCUUCGGGAACUGUGAGACAGGUGCUGCAUGGCUGUCGUCAGCUCGUGUUGUGAAAUGUUGGGUUAAGUCCCGCAACGAGCGCAACCCUUAUCCUUUGUUGCCAGCGGUCCGGCCGGGAACUCAAAGGAGACUGCCAGUGAUAAACUGGAGGAAGGUGGGGAUGACGUCAAGUCAUCAUGGCCCUUACGACCAGGGCUACACACGUGCUACAAUGGCGCAUACAAAGAGAAGCGACCUCGCGAGAGCAAGCGGACCUCAUAAAGUGCGUCGUAGUCCGAAUUGGAGUCUGCAACUCGACUCCAUGAAGUCGGAAUCGCUAGUAAUCGUGGAUCAGAAUGCCACGGUGAAUACGUUCCCGGGCCUUGCACACACCGCCCGUCA
RNAcentral lists this ribosomal RNA (1401 nucleotides) under uncultured bacterium. RNAcentral's name for it is "bacterial SSU rRNA". It matches the Rfam family "Bacterial small subunit ribosomal RNA". The record is from RNAcentral.